AGCCUUUUCAUUAACCAUUACCAAUCUUACACAUGCAAGCCUCUCACUUACACCGAAAACGCCCUACGCCGCUUUAUAGGAAUAGGAACUGGKAUCAGGCACAACACUUACCCCACAACACCUAGCCCCGCCACGCCCAUUAGGGUAUUCAGCAGUGAUAAGUAUUGAUAAUAAGCGUCAGCUUGAAUCAGUUAUGGUAAAGAGAGCCGGCAAAUCCGGUGCCAGCCGCCGCGGUUACACCAUUAGGCCCAAGUUAAUGCACAUCGGCGUUAAGCGUGAUUAGGGUGAUACACUGAUUAGAAUUCAACCCCAGCUUAGUUGUGAUACACUUGCCACGAGGAAACCCAAAACGAAAGUUAUUCUAACUAACCCACCUGACCCCACGACAGCUAAGAUACAAACUGGGAUUAGAUACCCCACUAUGCCUAGCCGUAAAACAUACACUCACACCACCAAUCGCCAGGGAAUUACGAGCCCAAACUUAAAACCCAAAGGACUUGACGGUGUCCCACCCACCUAGAGGAGCCUGUUCUAUAAUCGAUACCCCCCGAUAAACCUCACCACUUCUAGCCUAUCAGCCUGUAUACCUCCGUCGUAAGCUUACCAUGUGAAUGAAACUAGUGAGCCAAAGGAUCCACCACCAAUACGUCAGGUCAAGGUGCAGCUUACGAACUGGAAAGAAAUGGGCUACAAUUUCUAUAAUAGAACAAACGAAAGACUACAUGAAACACAGUCGCUGAAGGCGGAUUUAGUAGUAAAAAGAAUAUAGAGAGUUCUUUUAACAAGGCACUGGGACGCGUACACACCGCCCGUCACCCUCUUCAAAUGC
Molecule: non-coding RNA, 829 nt
Filed under: Chiasmocleis avilapiresae
Lineage: Eukaryota; Metazoa; Chordata; Amphibia; Anura; Microhylidae
Description: partial small subunit ribosomal RNA
Rfam family: Bacterial small subunit ribosomal RNA
Source: RNAcentral